Ruditapes philippinarum (Manila clam) is the source of this 490-nucleotide long non-coding RNA. RefSeq lists it as uncharacterized. Lineage: Eukaryota; Metazoa; Mollusca; Bivalvia; Venerida; Veneridae. The transcript is spliced from 3 exons. The record is from RefSeq and is a predicted model, not a curated record.
AAUUUUUAAGCUUAAUUGCCGUGAAUUUAUAGGUAAUAAUAAAUCUAUCUUUAUAUUCUAGAUCCUGGUCCUGGCUGAAAUUGAGAGUAUUGCAGCUGUAGCUUGUAUACCAUACAUUUAACAUGAAAAGGACUGUCAGGAUGCUGCAUACAGUGGUCUUAGCUAGAGCCUAGAAUGAAUAUUUCUUAGGAAUAUGCUGCAAGUAACUGAAGGGGAGCAGUUUUUCUUACCAAUCAUAGAAGCAGUAAGAGACAGCCAACGAAGUAUUCAAACACCAUCAUGAAACACUUAAGACAUACCAGGAGAGAUCUAGAAGAAGUACUAGUAGUACAGUGGAACAGAUUGCACUUGAACUGUCUUUUUUUUUGUUAAACAGUUAAACUUUGUUACUUUGCUUUAUAUUGAAAUUGAAGUAUGUUGAAAUGACAAUGAAACUUUAACGUUGUGCCAACGUUGAAUUUCAACGUUGUUUAAACUUUCAAAUCCGAAC